This 468-nucleotide ribosomal RNA is filed under the name uncultured bacterium. RNAcentral's name for it is "partial 16S ribosomal RNA". It matches the Rfam family "Bacterial small subunit ribosomal RNA", at positions 28 to 507 of the family's 1533-position model. The record is from RNAcentral.
GACGAACGCUGGCGGCGUGCUUAACACAUGCAAGUCGAACGGAAAGGCCCGGCGCUUGUUGGUUUCUCGAUUGGCGAACAGGGGAGUGACACGCGUGUAACCUGCCCCUGUCUUUGGGAGAACUUCAGGAAACUGGGGCUAAUAUCGGAUAUGAUCUCCUGCUGCAUGUUGUGGGUUGGAAAGUUUCGGCGGUUGGGGAUGUUCUCGCGGCUUAUGAGCUUGUUGGUGUGGUAGGUGCUUACCAAGGCUUUGACGGGUAGCCGGCCUGAGAGGGUGAACGGCCACAAUGGGCCUGAGAUACGGACCAGAAUCCUACGGGAGGCAGCAGUGGGGAAUAUUGCAGAAUGGGCGGAAGCGUGAUGCAGCAACGCCGCGUGCGGGAUAACGGCUUUCGGGUUGUAAACAGAUUUGGCCUGUGACGAAGAGUGAGUGACGGUAAUGGGUAAAGAAGCACCGGCUAACUACGUG